Rattus norvegicus (Norway rat) is the source of this 69-nucleotide non-coding RNA. Lineage: Eukaryota; Metazoa; Chordata; Mammalia; Rodentia; Muridae. The record is from Rfam.
GGGGACUUAGCUCAGUGGUAGAGCGCUUGCCUAGGAAGCGCAAGGCCCUGGGUUCGAUCCCCAGCUCUG